AGAGUUUGAUCCUGGCUCAGAUUGAACGCUGGCGGCAUGCCUUACACAUGCAAGUCGAACGGCAGCACGGGAGCAAUCCUGGUGGCGAGUGGCGAACGGGUGAGUAAUAUAUCGGAACGUGCCCAGUAGUGGGGGAUAGCCCGGCGAAAGCCGGAUUAAUACCGCAUACGACCUGUGGGUGAAAGCGGGGGAUCGCAAGACCUCGCGCUAUUGGAGCGGCCGAUAUCAGAUUAGCUUGUUGGUGGGGUAAAAGCCCACCAAGGCGACGAUCUGUAGCUGGUCUGAGAGGACGACCAGCCACACUGGGACUGAGACACGGCCCAGACUCUUACGGGAGGCAGCAGUGGGGAAUCUUGGACAAUGGGCGAAAGCCUGAUCCAGCCAUGCCGCGUGAAUGAUGAAGGCCCUAGGGUUGUAAAAUUCUUUCGACGGGGAAGAUAAUGACGGUACCCGUAGAAGAAGCUCCGGCUAACUUCGUG
This 479-nucleotide ribosomal RNA is filed under the name uncultured bacterium. Its description in RNAcentral is "bacterial SSU rRNA". It matches the Rfam family "Bacterial small subunit ribosomal RNA", at positions 8 to 507 of the family's 1533-position model. The record is from RNAcentral.